This 732-nucleotide long non-coding RNA is filed under the name Arachis ipaensis. RNAcentral's name for it is "long non-coding RNA (AIPA_LNC000559)". The record is from RNAcentral. Lineage: Eukaryota; Viridiplantae; Streptophyta; Magnoliopsida; Fabales; Fabaceae.
AUGGAUUGAAAUCUUUCUGAAAAUGCGCAGCUCCAUUUCUUGGCCGGCGUUCGCGAAAUGGAUUUUCAUAUCAUUUCAAGCCAGGUACCCACAAAAUGGGCCAACCAUAUCAGGUGCAGUUCCCACGAAAUGGCUACCCCCAUUUCCUUGGUGGCAGUAGCAAAAUGAAAGAAAUAACUCAGGAACACCUGGUGCGAAAUGGGGGCACUGCGGAGUUGAGGACACUCUCAUAUUCACUCUAUGGUAUAGUCAUAAUUUGAUGUAGAAAAGUGGAUAUUAUUGCCCUUAUAUUGAAAAAGAUUUUGUUUAAAAUGUUAUCUCUAGGUUACUUGUGUUUGUGUGUGUUGCAGAAUUAUGUGGACAGUUGAUCAUAAUUAUCUGGACGUACUUAGGAGUAAGAAUUUUCUGAUUAUGUGUUGGUUUGAAUUAGCUUAUUUGAGUUAAAAAAGUACUUUUUAUAAAAAAAAAUAAAAUACUUUAAGUUUUAAACACAUUUUGAUACAUCUUUUGAGAAUAAGUAUUUUUAUUAAAAAAGCAAAUUCUUUGCUUUUUUCUAAAAGCCAGUAAUACCUUGCUUUUAAAAAAAAAACAAAAGCAAAAGACGUUUUUAAUAUUUAAAAAAUCUUUUUAAAAAGUCUACCCAAAGUAAAAUAUAUAACUUUUAUCUGUAAAAAAUGAUUUUCUUAAAAAAGAUAAAAAAAUAAAUACUUUUUUUCAAAAGCCAAUUCAAAC